UCCUACGGGAGGCAGCAGUGGGGAAUAUUGCGCAAUGGGGGGAACCCUGACGCAGCCAUGCCGCGUGAAUGAAGAAGGCCUUCGGGUUGUAAAGUUCUUUCGGUAAUGAGGAAGGGAUGUUGUUAAAUAGAUAGCAUCAUUGACGUUAAUUACAGAAGAAGCACCGGCUAACUCCGUGCCAGCAGCCGCGGUAAUACGGAGGGUGCGAGCGUUAAUCGGAAUAACUGGGCGUAAAGGGCACGCAGGCGGACUUUUAAGUGAGAUGUGAAAUCCCCGAGCUUAACUUGGGAACUGCAUUUCAGACUGGGAGUCUAGAGUACUUUAGGGAGGGGUAGAAUUCCACGUGUAGCGGUGAAAUGCGUAGAGAUGUGGAGGNAUACCGAAGGCGAAGGCAGCCCCUUGGGAAUGUACUGACGCUCAUGUGCGAAAGCGUGGGGAGCAAACAGGAUUAGAUACCCUGGUAGUCC
This 467-nucleotide ribosomal RNA is filed under the name uncultured bacterium. Its description in RNAcentral is "bacterial SSU rRNA". It matches the Rfam family "Bacterial small subunit ribosomal RNA", at positions 337 to 796 of the family's 1533-position model. The record is from RNAcentral.